Molecule: ribosomal RNA, 206 nt
Filed under: uncultured bacterium
Lineage: Bacteria
Description: partial 16S ribosomal RNA
Rfam family: Bacterial small subunit ribosomal RNA
Source: RNAcentral
AUUGUAGUCUGCAACUCGACUACAUGAAGCUGGAAUCGCUAGUAAUCGCGAAUCAGCAUGUCGCGGUGAAUACGUUCCCGGGUCUUGUACACACCGCCCGUCACACCAUGGGAGUUGGUAACGCCCGAAGCCAGUGGCCCAACCUUAAGAGGAGGGAGCUGUCGAAGGUGGGACCGAUAAUUGGGGUGAAGUCGUAACAAGGUACC